Molecule: ribosomal RNA, 250 nt
Filed under: uncultured bacterium
Lineage: Bacteria
Description: partial 16S ribosomal RNA
Rfam family: Bacterial small subunit ribosomal RNA
Source: RNAcentral
UACGGAGGGUGCAAGCGUUAAUCGGAAUCACUGGGCGUAAAGCGCUCGUAGGCUGUUUGGUAAGUCAGACGUGAAAGCCCGCGGCUUAACCGCGGAACUGCGUUUGAUACUGCCAGACUUGAGUGUCGGAGAGGGUGGCGGAAUUCCGGGUGUAGGAGUGAAAUCCGUAGAUAUCCGGAGGAACACCAGUGGCGAAGGCGGCCACCUGGACGACAACUGACGCUGAGGAGCGAAAGCGUGGGUAGCAAAC